UCCAGCCUCCAGACAUACUCGAUACAAAAAGGCCAGAAGCUUCUUCUGGCAUUGGCCAUUGGAAGCAGCGGCCAUUAGCUGGCCACCGCCGCCAGCCAAGCGCCGUCGCCCCCCACACGCGAAGACGUAUCUGAUGAAUGAAUCCCCAGGUGAGGGAGCUAUGCAUCACCAAAAUCGAGCCAUUGGAGGUGCUGGAGUAGGGAUAGGGGAGAGAGAGGGAAGUGCAGGUGCGAAGAGUUGGGCUUGGAAGGUCUUUAGUUGAUCAUGAACUCUUCCAUCCUUCCUGGCUUGUGGGUUUUCAGGGAAUUUCUUUGCAAAAGGCCACACCCCUUUGUUUGCAUUUGCAGAUAAAACCUGCCUUUCUAUCUCCUCUUUGGAGCUCAGGUGAUUGCCAGACAUAACGACAGAAGUUGAAGCAGACACUUUGUCCAUCUGAAUAGGUUCAUUCAGAUUGGUCAAACCAUUGCUUCUUACCAAAUGCAAAUCAGAGCUCGACACAUUAUUGUUACAGCCAGAUUUGUCUGUUCCCAACCCCAAACCUCCAUCUGGUUCGUCUUCGUCACUGAGGCAUUCCUCGGCUGGAAGUUCAAGAUUGAACAAUUUUCUUCGAGGCUUCUUCUCUCUGGAAUCCAAAGAUUCAUGGUCCUUCAUCCCUACUCUACUUUGGCUGGGGACACCGCUAUUUUGCAGGGUUUUUCCAAUAGCAUCACAAGGAGAUUGGCUGAUACAAGUACUCAAUGUAGAUCGUCUACCAUAACUGGAAUCCACCAAGGGCAAAUUAGAAAGAUGCCAACUCUUUGUAUAGCCUCCAGUUGGAAAGCCGGAUGAUGAGAAAGUUGAUUGUGAUACCCCUGUUG
Malus domestica (apple) is the source of this 857-nucleotide long non-coding RNA. RefSeq lists it as uncharacterized. The record is from RefSeq and is a predicted model, not a curated record. NCBI's taxonomy places the organism in Eukaryota, Viridiplantae, Streptophyta, Magnoliopsida, Rosales, Rosaceae.